This 1021-nucleotide long non-coding RNA is filed under the name Oryctolagus cuniculus (rabbit). Its description in RNAcentral is "lncRNA (ENSOCUG00000030794.1)". The record is from RNAcentral. Lineage: Eukaryota; Metazoa; Chordata; Mammalia; Lagomorpha; Leporidae.
GCUUCCCACAGACCAGCUGCGCCUCACAGACCAGCUCCUCCCCACAGACCAGCUGCUCCCCACAUACCAGCUACUCCUCACAGACCUCCAACUCCUCACAGACCAGCUGUUCCUCACAGACCAACUGAUCCCCACCGACCAGCUGCACCUCACAGACCAGCUACUCCUUACAGACCAGCUGCUCCCCACAGACCAGGUGCUCCUCACAGACCACCAACUCAUCACAGACCAGCUGCUCCUCACAGACAAGCUACUCCUUACAGACCAGCUGCUCCUCCACAGACCAGCUGUUCGUCACAGACCAGCUCCUUCUCACAGACCAGCUGCUCCUCACAGACCAGCUCCUCCUCACAGACCAGUUGCUCCUCACAGACCAGCUCCUCCUCACAGACCACCAACUCCUCACAGACCAGCUCCUCCCCACAGACCAGCUGCUCCCCACACACCAGCUACUCCUCACAGACCUCCAACUCCUCACAGACCAGCUCUUCAUCACAGACCAACUGAUCCCCACCGACCAGCUGCACCUCACAGACCAGCUGCUCCUCACAGACCAGCUGCUCCUCAUAGACCAGCUACUCCUUACAGACCAGCUGCUCCCCACAGACCAGGUGCUCCUCACAGACCACCAACUCAUCACAGACCAGCUGCUCCUCACAGACAAGCUACUCCUUACAGACCAGCUACUCCUUACAAACCAGCUGCUCCCCACAGACCAGCUGUUCGUCACAGACCAGCUCCUUCUCACAGACCAGCUGCUCCUCACAGACCAGCUCCUCCUCACAGACUAGCUGCUCCUCACAUACAAGCUGCUCUUCACAGACCAGCUGCUCCCUACAGAUCAACUACUCCCCACAGACUAGUUGUUCCUCACAGACUAGCUACUCCUCACAGACCAGCUGCUCCUCACAGGCCAGCUACUCUUUACAGACCAGCUGCUCCUCACAGAGGAGCUCCAUUGUUGACACACAAGGGGCUUUGUGAGCCACAGAAGCUCAGCCUGCUGCGUCUGUUACACACC